GAUGAACGCUGGCGGCGUGCCUAAUACAUGCAAGUCGAGCGAACAGACGAGGAGCUUGCUCCUCUGACGUUAGCGGCGGACGGGUGAGUAACACGUGGAUAACCUACCUAUAAGACUGGGAUAAAUUCGGGAAACCGGAGCUAAUACCGGAUAAUAUAUUGAACCGCAUGGUUCAAUAGUGAAAGACGGUUUUGCUGUCACUUAUAGAUGGAUCCGCGCCGCAUUAGCUAGUUGGUAAGGUAACGGCUUACCAAGGCGACGAUGCGUAGCCGACCUGAGAGGGGGGUCGGCCACACUGGAACUGAGACACGGUCCAGACUCCUACGGGAGGCAGCAGUAGGGAAUCUUCCGCAAUGGGCGAAAGCCUGACGGAGCAACGCCGCGUGAGUGAUGAAGGUCUUCGGAUCGUAGAACUCUGUUAUUAGGGAAGAACAAAUGUGUAAGUAACUAUGCACGUCUUGACGGUACCUAAUCAGAAAGCCACGGCUAACUACGUG
Molecule: ribosomal RNA, 497 nt
Filed under: uncultured bacterium
Lineage: Bacteria
Description: partial 16S ribosomal RNA
Rfam family: Bacterial small subunit ribosomal RNA
Source: RNAcentral